RNAcentral lists this RNase P RNA (328 nucleotides) under Campylobacter fetus subsp. fetus. RNAcentral's name for it is "Bacterial RNase P class A". It matches the Rfam family "Bacterial RNase P class A". Rfam says of the family: Ribonuclease P (RNase P) is a ubiquitous endoribonuclease, found in archaea, bacteria and eukarya as well as chloroplasts and mitochondria. Its best characterised activity is the generation of mature 5'-ends of tRNAs by cleaving the 5'-leader elements of precursor-tRNAs. The record is from Rfam by way of RNAcentral. Lineage: Bacteria; Pseudomonadati; Campylobacterota; Epsilonproteobacteria; Campylobacterales; Campylobacteraceae.
CUGGCAUAGCAAACGAUCGCUUUGGCGCUGGAGCCACAGAGGAAAGUCCGAGCUGCUCUAAGACAUGGUUCCAUCUAACAGAUGGCUAGGGAAACCUAAGGGAUAGUGCAACAGAAAGUAAACUGCCGCGAAAUCGGCGAUGGUGAAACGGUGGGGUAAGAGCCCACCAGCGUUUGUGGCAACACAGAUGGCUUUGUAAACCCAACCUGCAGCAAGAAGGGACGGUUUUGUCUUAGUAAUACAACCCUUCGCUUGAGCUAAGUUGCAAAAUUUAGCCUAGAUAAAUGAUCGUUUUUAACAGAACUCGGCUUAUCGCUAUGCCUUUUAU